GUUAAGCGACUAAGCGUACACGGUGGAUGCCCUGGCAGUCAGAGGCGAUGAAGGACGUGCUAAUCUGCGAUAAGCGUCGGUAAGGUGAUAUGAACCGUUAUAACCGGCGAUUUCCGAAUGGGGAAACCCAGUGUGAUUCGUCACACUAUCAUUAACUGAAUCCAUAGGUUAAUGAGGCGAACCGGGGGAACUGAAACAUCUAAGUACCCCGAGGAAAAGAAAUCAACCGAGAUUCCCCCAGUAGCGGCGAGCGAACGGGGAGCAGCCCAGAGCCUGAAUCAGUGUGUGUGUUAGUGGAAGCGUCUGGAAAGGCGUGCGAUACAGGGUGACAGCCCCGUACACAAAAAUGCACAUACUGUGAGCUCGAUGAGUAGGGCGGGACACGUGGUAUCCUGUCUGAAUAUGGGGGGACCAUCCUCCAAGGCUAAAUACUCCUGACUGACCGAUAGUGAACCAGUACCGUGAGGGAAAGGCGAAAAGAACCCCGGCGAGGGGAGUGAAAAAGAACCUGAAACCGUGUACGUACAAGCAGUGGGAGCACGCUUAGGCGUGUGACUGCGUACCUUUUGUAUAAUGGGUCAGCGACUUAUAUUCUGUAGCAAGGUUAACCGAAUAGGGGAGCCGAAGGGAAACCGAGUCUUAACUGGGCGUUAAGUUGCAGGGUAUAGACCCGAAACCCGGUGAUCUAGCCAUGGGCAGGUUGAAGGUUGGGUAACACUAACUGGAGGACCGAACCGACUAA
RNAcentral lists this ribosomal RNA (742 nucleotides) under Shigella flexneri. RNAcentral's name for it is "partial 23S ribosomal RNA". It matches the Rfam family "Bacterial large subunit ribosomal RNA", at positions 1 to 786 of the family's 2925-position model. Lineage: Bacteria; Pseudomonadati; Pseudomonadota; Gammaproteobacteria; Enterobacterales; Enterobacteriaceae. The record is from RNAcentral.